RNAcentral lists this ribosomal RNA (440 nucleotides) under uncultured bacterium. RNAcentral describes it as "partial 16S ribosomal RNA". It matches the Rfam family "Bacterial small subunit ribosomal RNA", at positions 338 to 795 of the family's 1533-position model. The record is from RNAcentral.
CCUACGGGAGGCUGCAGUGGGGCAUAUUGCACAAUGGGGGAAACCCUGAUGCAGCGACGCCGCGUGAAGGAAGAAGUAUUUCUGUAUGUAAACUUCUAUCAGCAGGGAAGCAAAUGACGGUACCUGACUACGACGCCCCGGCUCACUACGUACCAGCAGCCGCGGGAAUACGUAGGGGGCAAGCGUUAUCCGGAUUUACUGGGUGUAAAGGGCGCGUAGGCGGUUUAGCAAGUCAGAAGUGAAAGCCCGGGGCUCAACUCCGGGACUGCUGUUGAAACUGUUGAACUAGAUUGCAGGAGAGGUAAGUGGAAUUCCUAGUGUAGCGGUGAAAUGCGUAGAUAUUAGGAGGAACACCAGUGGCGAAGGCGGCAUACUGGACUGUAAAUGACGCUGAGGCUCGAAAGCGUGGGGAGCAAACAGGAUUAGAUACCCCGGUAGUC